CGAACGGGUGAGUAACACGUGGGCAAUCUGCCCUGCACUCUGGGACAAGCCCUGGAAACGGGGUCUAAUACCGGAUAUGACCCUCGCAGGCAUCUGUGAGGGUGUAAAGCUCCGGCGGUGCAGGAUGAGCCCGCGGCCUAUCAGCUUGUUGGUGAGGUAACGGCUCACCAAGGCGACGACGGGUAGCCGGCCUGAGAGGGCGACCGGCCACACUGGGACUGAGACACGGCCCAGACUCCUACGGGAGGCAGCAGUGGGGAAUAUUGCACAAUGGGCGAAAGCCUGAUGCAGCGACGCCGCGUGAGGGAUGACGGCCUUCGGGUUGUAAACCUCUUUCAGCAGGGAAGAAGCGAAAGUGACGGUACCUGCAGAAGAAGCGCCGGCUAACUACGUGCCAGCAGCCGCGGUAAUACGUAGGGCGCAAGCGUUGUCCGGAAUUAUUGGGCGUAAAGAGCUCGUAGGCGGCUUGUCGCGUCGGUUGUGAAAGCCCGGGGCUUAACCCCGGGUCUGCAGUCGAUACGGGCAGGCUAGAGUUCGGUAGGGGAGAUCGGAAUUCCUGG
RNAcentral lists this ribosomal RNA (560 nucleotides) under Streptomyces hyderabadensis. RNAcentral's name for it is "bacterial SSU rRNA". It matches the Rfam family "Bacterial small subunit ribosomal RNA", at positions 99 to 673 of the family's 1533-position model. The record is from RNAcentral. Lineage: Bacteria; Bacillati; Actinomycetota; Actinomycetes; Kitasatosporales; Streptomycetaceae.